This 301-nucleotide ribosomal RNA is filed under the name uncultured bacterium. RNAcentral's name for it is "partial 16S ribosomal RNA". It matches the Rfam family "Bacterial small subunit ribosomal RNA", at positions 509 to 807 of the family's 1533-position model. The record is from RNAcentral.
CAGCCGCCGCGGUAAUACGUAGGGUGCAAGCGUUAAUCGGAAUUACUGGGCGUAAAGCGUGCGCAGGCGGUUCGCUAAGACAGAUGUGAAAUCCCCGGGCUUAACCUGGGAAUUGCAUUUGUGACUGGCGGGCUAGAGUAUGGCAGAGGGGGGUAGAAUUCCACGUGUAGCAGUGAAAUGCGUAGAGAUGUGGAGGAAUACCGAUGGCGAAGGCAGCCCCCUGGGCCAAUACUGACGCUCAUGCACGAAAGCGUGGGGAGCAAACAGGAUUAGAUACCCGCGUAGUCCCUGUCUCUUAUAC